UACGUAGGUGGCAAGCGUUGUCCGGAUUUAUUGGGUUUAAAGGGUGCGUAGGCGGCUUUGUAAGUCAGUAGUGAGAUACCCCAGCUCAACUGGGGGGGUGCUAUUGAUACUGCAUGGCUUGAGUACAGAUGAGGUAGGCGGAAUUGACGGUGUAGCGGUGAAAUGCAUAGCUAUCGUCAAGAACACCGAUGGCGAAGGCAGCCCCCUGGGUUAACACUGACGCUCAUGCACGAAAGCGUGGGGAGCAAACAGG
RNAcentral lists this ribosomal RNA (253 nucleotides) under uncultured bacterium. Its description in RNAcentral is "partial 16S ribosomal RNA". It matches the Rfam family "Bacterial small subunit ribosomal RNA", at positions 524 to 776 of the family's 1533-position model. The record is from RNAcentral.